AAUAACCUCAUUUUUCGUUUUUCCAUGUUCAAAGUUUGACCAUUCGUCUUAUUUAAAAUUUUUUUAUGAUUAAUAUUUUUAUUCUUACUAGAUAAUAAAACAUAAAUAGUAUUUUAUGUGUGACUAAUUUUUUUAGUUUUUUUACAAAUUUUUAAAAUAAGACAAAUGAUCAAACAUUGGACACGUAAAAACGAAAAUAAGGUUACU
Non-coding RNA from Oryza brachyantha (malo sina), 207 nucleotides. NCBI's taxonomy places the organism in Eukaryota, Viridiplantae, Streptophyta, Magnoliopsida, Poales, Poaceae. The record is from Rfam.